UACAGAGGUCUCGAGCGUUAGGCGGAAUCACUGGGCUUAAAGCGUGUGUAGGCGGCUCUGUAAGUACCUUGUGAAAUCCCACGGCUUAACCGUGGAACUGCUUGGUAUAUUGCGGGUCUUGAGCCACCUAGGGGCGAGCGGAACAGAUAGUGGAGCGGUGAAAUGCGUAGAGAUCGGGAGGAACACCGGUGGCGAAGGCGGGUCUCUGGGCAAUUCCUGACGCUGAGGCGCGAAAGCGUGGGGAGCAAACGGG
This 253-nucleotide ribosomal RNA is filed under the name uncultured bacterium. Its description in RNAcentral is "partial 16S ribosomal RNA". It matches the Rfam family "Bacterial small subunit ribosomal RNA", at positions 524 to 776 of the family's 1533-position model. The record is from RNAcentral.